This 253-nucleotide ribosomal RNA is filed under the name uncultured bacterium. Its description in RNAcentral is "partial 16S ribosomal RNA". It matches the Rfam family "Bacterial small subunit ribosomal RNA", at positions 524 to 776 of the family's 1533-position model. The record is from RNAcentral.
UACGGAGGGUGCAAGCGUUAUCCGGAAUCACUGGGUUUAAAGGGUGCGUAGGCGGCGCAAUAAGUCAGAGGUGAAAGCCUCCCGCUCAACGGGAGAACUGCCUUUGAUACUGUUGUGCUUGAAUCAGGUUGAGGACAGCUGAAUGUGGCAUGUAGCGGUGAAAUGCAUAGAUAUGCCAUAGAACACCAAUUGCGAAGGCAGCUGUCUGGGCCUGUAUUGACGCUGAGGCACGAAAGCGUGGGGAGCGAACAGG